UAGAGGAUUGUAAAGUCUGAUUUAUAGGCC
This 30-nucleotide non-coding RNA is filed under the name Mus musculus (house mouse). The record is from RNAcentral. Lineage: Eukaryota; Metazoa; Chordata; Mammalia; Rodentia; Muridae.